AGCUAGUUGGUGAGGUAACGGCCCACCAAGGCGACGACGGGUAGCCGGCCUGAGAGGGUGACCGGCCACACUGGGACUGAGACACGGCCCAGACUCCUACGGGAGGCAGCAGUGGGGAAUAUUGCACAAUGGGCGCAAGCCUGAUGCAGCAACGCCGCGUGAGGGACGACGGCCUUCGGGUUGUAAACCUCUUUUAGUAGGGAAGAAGCGAAAGUGACGGUACCUGCAGAAAAAGCACCGGCUAACUACGUGCCAGCAGCCGCGGUAAUACGUAGGGUGCAAGCGUUAUCCGGAAUUAUUGGGCGUAAAGAGCUCGUAGGCGGUUUGUCGCGUCUGCUGUGAAAACUGGAGGCUCAACCUCCAGCCUGCAGUGGGUACGGGCAGACUAGAGUGCGGUAGGGGAGAUUGGAAUUCCUGGUGUAGCGGUGGAAUGCGCAGAUAUCAGGAGGAACACCGAUGGCGAAGGCAGAUCUCUGGGCCGUAACUGACGCUGAGGAGCGAAAGCAUGGGGAGCGAACAGGAUUAGAUACCCUGGUAGUCCAUGCCGUAAACGUUGGGAACUAGAUGUAGGGACCAUUCCACGGUUUCUGUGUCGCAGCUAACGCAUUAAGUUCCCCGCCUGGGGAGUACGGCCGCAAGGCUAAAACUCAAAGGAAUUGACGGGGGCCCGCACAAGCGGCGGAGCAUGCGGAUUAAUUCGAUGCAACGCGAAGAACCUUACCAAGGCUUGACAUAUACCGGAAAAGUUCAGAAAUGUUCUCCCCGCAAGGUCGGUAUACAGGUGGUGCAUGGUUGUCGUCAGCUCGUGUCGUGAGAUGUUGGGUUAAGUCCCGCAACGAGCGCAACCCUCGUUCUAUGUUGCCAGCACGUAAUGGUGGGAACUCAUAGGAGACUGCCGGGGUCAACUCGGAGGAAGGUGGGGAUGACGUCAAAUCAUCAUGCCCCUUAUGUCUUGGGCUUCACGCAUGCUACAAUGGCCGAUACAAAGGGCUGCAAUACCGCAAGGUGGAGCGAAUCCCAAAAAGUCGGUCUCAGUUCGGAUUGAGGUCUGCAACUCGACCUCAUGAAGUCGGAGUCGCUAGUAAUCGCAGAUCAGCAACGCUGCGGUGAAUACGUUCCCGGGCCUUGUACACACCGCCCGUCAAGUCAUGAAAGUCGGUAACACCCGAAGCCAGUGGCCCAACCGCAAGGAGGGAGCUGUCGAAGGUGGGAUCGGUGAUUAGGACUAAGUCGUAACAAGGUAACCGUACUAGU
RNAcentral lists this ribosomal RNA (1254 nucleotides) under metagenome. Its description in RNAcentral is "bacterial SSU rRNA". It matches the Rfam family "Bacterial small subunit ribosomal RNA", at positions 243 to 1509 of the family's 1533-position model. The record is from RNAcentral.